GCUCCUAUAGCUCAACGGAUAGAGCAGAAGCCUUCUAAGCUUAAGAUAGAGGUUCGAUUCCUCUUGGGAGCACCA
Molecule: transfer RNA, 75 nt
Filed under: Candidatus Altimarinota bacterium
Lineage: Bacteria; Candidatus Altimarinota
Description: tRNA-Arg
Rfam family: tRNA
About the family: Transfer RNA (tRNA) molecules are approximately 80 nucleotides in length. Their secondary structure includes four short double-helical elements and three loops (D, anti-codon, and T loops).
Source: RNAcentral